GUGGGGAAUAUUGGACAAUGGGGGGAACCCUGAUCCAGCCAUGCCGCGUGUGUGAAGAAGGCCUUAUGGUUGUAAAGCACUUUAAGCGAGGAGGAGGCUCUUUUGGUUAAUACCCAAGAUGAGUGGACGUUACUCGCAGAAUAAGCACCGGCUAACUCUGUGCCAGCAGCCGCGGUAAUACAGAGGGUGCAAGCGUUAAUCGGAUUUACUGGGCGUAAAGCGCGCGUAGGCGGCCAAUUAAGUCAAAUGUGAAAUCCCCGAGCUUAACUUGGGAAUUGCAUUCGAUACUGGUUGGCUAGAGUGUGGGAGAGGAUGGUAGAAUUCCAGGUGUAGCGGUGAAAUGCGUAGAGAUCUGGAGGAAUACCGAUGGCGAAGGCAGCCAUCUGGCCUAACACUGACGCUGAGGUGCGAAAGCAUGGGGAGCAAACAGGAUUAGAAACCCCAGUAGUCC
This 451-nucleotide ribosomal RNA is filed under the name uncultured bacterium. RNAcentral's name for it is "bacterial SSU rRNA". It matches the Rfam family "Bacterial small subunit ribosomal RNA", at positions 354 to 796 of the family's 1533-position model. The record is from RNAcentral.